GCCCCAGCCCCGCAGAGAGGGCCAAGUGCAGUGUCUUUGGGAACGGGGGCAAGGGUCAGUCGCAGUCCUAGAACUUCAACCAAGGACACGGAUCUGAGCGUGUAAGAGGUGGCGGCAGGAGGAAAGGCAGCCCGACGUGAUUUCUCACACUGUCCUGACGGUCCCCCGCCCCCAAUCAAAAGCUUCGACGUUUCCGCUCGGUCACUCGAGCAACACGUGGGUACCUCUGGGACGAGAACCUUCGAGGCCGCCAAUGCCUUCUCUGAGACCCUCCCCCCGCCUCCAUCGCCGGGCUCUCUGGGUUUUCCACCUGCUCUCCGCCCCCCGGGGAGCUGCCCCUUCGCACUGGGGACUCGCAUCGCGCGCUUCUGGCACCGUAACAUCUGGGUGGCUUCCGCCUGCGCAAUUUCAGGCAGCGCCCGCUCCCUUACACGUGAGCUCUUCUCUCUCUGCUCCCUACCCCCCUGGGGAGGGGACAGGAGGCUACAGUGUCGCCGGUAACAGAGUUGCACUCGCUCUUCUCCUGACCCCUCCCGGGCCACGGGAACUUGCAGGGCGCUCCCGGUCCUCAGGUGCAUCGCCCUUCCCCCCAUCUUUGCAGACACAGGUCGGCCGCCGCGCUCGCCUCUUCUCCCGUUUGUCACCUCGCCCGCCCGCGCCCUCCCCACCCGGGCAAAGGGAUUUCAGACACGCGGGGAGGAGGCUGGGUCAUAGCCGGGCUCAACCCCGGCAGCCUCGGGACAAGUUCAGACGCUGGACACCGAGAUCCCAGCCCCGAGCGGGACUCAGAGCGCCGGAAGUCGCUGGGUGACAGCGGGCCGCGGGACCAGCCCGAGGGCGUCCGCGCCCGCACCCCCGGGAGCCUCUCCCCCGGCCCCCGCUCGUCCGGCCGUGCGCCCCCCCCCCGCCCCCACUCCACCCCGCUCCAGGAACGCCCCGGGCCCCGGGGCACUGCCGCGGGCUCCUCACCGUCCCCGCGGCCAGUCCUCCGCUCCCCCCGGGCGCCCCUCGGCUCCGCCUGCAGGGGUGCGUGUGCCCCUGUUCGCUCGGCAACUUCGCGCCCCUCCCCUGCGGGCAGCCGACGCGCGGACCCUCCCGGGCGCACGGACCUCAGCCGGGCUGCAGGCAGACCCAGCAGCCGGAAAGAACCCGCGAGAGAUCUUUGGUCCGCUUCUCCUCAUUAGUGCCUAUGUCCCUUGAUGUCGGGAACCAUGCUUAGUGCUGCUUUCAGUAGUGGCAGCUUUGUAUUAACGGGUGUAGAGGACAGUCAGUAAACACCGACCGCGGAAUGACAGCAUAGCAUGGGCCCUGCUGGCUUUCGUCACCGUUUCCCCCGGAAAAGAGCAUAAUAUGCCCGCAUCGAUUGAUGCCAGAACUAUACCUCCAGAAGCACGCUUCAGCUCGACAGAUGACAGCCGGGUCCUGCUGACUGCUUUCUGAACUGCGGAGAGCAAGACCCCAUUUUCCUUUGCCCGUGUCUGGUACUGAUGAUAAGGUUCUCAAGGGAGCAGACGUCUCAGGCUGUGGUUUCCUCACCAUUGUCACACGUAUCUGCUUGCACAAUGGGAAACGUGUUUGGCCAACGUCCUUAGCGUUUGAGUGCGUCCCAGGAAUGAAUGUCUCAGGGGUGCUGAAAUCAGGCCGAUGCACUUGGGCAUCUGAUCGCGACCCUCCACCCACCUCCACCCCUGCCUCUAGCUGCCACACCAGGUGACCUGGAAGGCGAUGUGGGUAGAAGGCAGUGAGCAGAACGUUUCCCGGCAAGAAACAAAAUGUGCCCUAAAUGUAGCCAACCAUCCCCUUCUUUCCAGAAAUUUGAGAUUAGACGCUCAGACAUUAUGUUACAGCGGGACGUAAUUCUCUGCUGUAAUAUCAUUUGGAUUAAAAAUUUUUUAAAAAUA
Molecule: long non-coding RNA, 1901 nt
Organism: Leopardus geoffroyi (Geoffroy's cat)
Lineage: Eukaryota; Metazoa; Chordata; Mammalia; Carnivora; Felidae
Exons: 2
Source: RefSeq, a predicted model, not a curated record